GACGAACGCUGGCGGCGUGCUUAACACAUGCAAGUCGAGCGGUAAGGCCCUUUCGGGGGUACACGAGCGGCGAACGGGUGAGUAACACGUGGGUGACCUGCCCUCAGCUCUGGGAUAAGUCCGGGAAACUGGGUCUAAUACUGGAUAUUACUCUGCGGUGCAUGCCGUGGGGUGGAAAGCCUUGUGCGGCUGGGGAUGGGCCCGCGGCCUAUCAGCUUGUUGGUGGGGUGAUGGCCACCAAGGCGACGACGGGUAGCCGGCCUGAGAGGGCGACCGGCCACACUGGGACUGAGACACGGCCCAGACUCCUACGGGAGGCAGCAGUGGGGAAUCUUGCGCAAUGGGCGAAAGCCUGACGCAGCGACGCCGCGUGAGGGAUGACGGCCU
This 387-nucleotide ribosomal RNA is filed under the name uncultured bacterium. RNAcentral describes it as "bacterial SSU rRNA". It matches the Rfam family "Bacterial small subunit ribosomal RNA", at positions 28 to 417 of the family's 1533-position model. The record is from RNAcentral.